This 608-nucleotide long non-coding RNA is filed under the name Rattus norvegicus (Norway rat). RNAcentral's name for it is "long non-coding RNA NONRATT014118". Lineage: Eukaryota; Metazoa; Chordata; Mammalia; Rodentia; Muridae. The record is from RNAcentral.
GGAGGGUAGCAUGUAGUGUGGUAGGGCCUGUGGCUCCUGCUCUGGCUGGAAUUACUAGCACAGGGAGUCACUCACUCCCAGGCCUCAGAGCUACAUGGCAGGUCCCCAAGUGCGGCUGGUGAUCCACUACAAUCCAGCGUAAAGCCACCCAGAGAGCCCAGGUGUCCCCUACUUUAACCAGACCUGGUGCCUUGACGCCCCCACCCCAGCGGGGACGGUACAGAGAAGGGUCUUGGUCUCCUCCUCCCUUCCUCGGGCUCCUGAAUUCAUUUGCUCCUAAACCUUGCUCAUUCUUUUUCUCCAGGUUUUUCUUUUGGGUUUUCCUAGCUAUCCGACUUCUUUCUUUGUGUCCUUGUUUGCCGUCUCAGUGUUCCUCUCUCAUUCUCAAUUUCUUAGUCCAUUUGGGCCUCCUCCCUGCCCCCACACCCUACUCCCUCCCCUCCUUGGUCUCCUUUUCGAUAUGCCAAACCAAUUUUGGGUCGAGUGCAUUUAACGAGAAUAAAACAAAAGGCUCAUAAGAACGUUUCAGAAAAAAACAAAAAGUUUUAAAAAAAUGUUGAGUCAAAAAGUCAAACAAUAAAGAAAUUAAGAUUUCUUGAAAUGAGAAA